Molecule: ribosomal RNA, 253 nt
Filed under: uncultured bacterium
Lineage: Bacteria
Description: partial 16S ribosomal RNA
Rfam family: Bacterial small subunit ribosomal RNA
Source: RNAcentral
UACGUAGGGGGCAAGCGUUGUCCGGAUUUAUUGGGCGUAAAGAGCGUGUAGGCGGUUUGGUAGGUCCGUUGUGAAAACUCGAGGCUCAACCUCGAGACGCCGGCGGAAACCAUUAGGCUAGAGUCCGGAAGAGGAGAGUGGAAUUCCUGGUGUAGCGGUGAAAUGCGCAGAUAUCAGGAAGAACACCCGUGGCUAAGGCGGCUCUCUAGUACGGUACUGACGCUGAGACGCGAAAGCGUGGGGAGCGAACAGG